This 741-nucleotide long non-coding RNA is filed under the name Durio zibethinus. Its description in RNAcentral is "long non-coding RNA (DZIB_LNC001023)". Lineage: Eukaryota; Viridiplantae; Streptophyta; Magnoliopsida; Malvales; Malvaceae. The record is from RNAcentral.
UCAAAAAAUCUGCAAAAAAAUUGAAUCAAUAGAAAAAAAGUUAAACCCAAAUAAAUUAAUUUCCUCUUAAACAACAAGCCUCAAAUUCAAUACCCAAAACCUAAACUCCAAAUUCGAAGAAUCCAGAAAAAAUUCAAGCAAAAUCAAGCUUGUGAUAGGUUUGGCAGAAGAAACCGGAAUAACUAAAGCCGCCACCGCAUAAACUGCAGACUUACUCCCACAUGACAACGUCCGUGACCGAAUCUCGAUCACAUUCACCAUUGAACGCAUAAAAAACAAGCACCCCAUAAUGGACCCCACAGCCGAACCCAUCAUCCCAAAUCUCAAAACUUUAAGGUUAAUGUGGACCCUGAAAGCUUCAUCGACAUCUUUACCAUUCAACAGAUCGAUGGUAAGUUUUAAACCCUGAGCUACUGGUGACAAGAAAAGGAAGAAAUUGAAGAAGACAACCUCGAAGACUAAGAGCUUUUUUGCUACGUCGAUGUCGGUGUCGCAGGGGGAUCGAUUCUUGAGGCUAUGUUGGCCUCGGGUGGUUAAAGAAAGACCCACGAAGACUGACGAUGCAGAGGGAGUUAACGUUUGCAAGCUUCGAUUUUGCUUAAAUUUCUUCUUGGUUUUUUGAAUUUGAGAUUUAAGAUUGGAGUAUUAAAUUUACAGUUGAUUGUUUAAGAAAUAAUUAAUUUGUUUAGAAUUUAUUUAUUAUUUAUUUUUUAUCACAUAAACAAUUCAUAUUAUGCUUAC